This is a long non-coding RNA of Diceros bicornis minor, 459 nucleotides long. RefSeq lists it as uncharacterized. The record is from RefSeq and is a predicted model, not a curated record. NCBI's taxonomy places the organism in Eukaryota, Metazoa, Chordata, Mammalia, Perissodactyla, Rhinocerotidae. The transcript has 3 exons.
UGUAAGUUUUAAUAAGGAUGAAAAAUGCAUACAGCUGGCUCAUACUUGCUCAUUUUGCUCUGUUCAGAUCAUCUCCUUUAGAGGAAAAAGAAAUAGGUCCAUUUUUUGGAAGAAAACAACAUGGUCCCUUUCCACUUCACAGAAGGACAGUGAGCUCAUGAGCACUUUGAGUACAGAUAUCAACCUUACUCAUUUUGGCAUGUCUCCCUCCUCUCCCAUACACUGGCAUCGGUGCCUGAUACACACAGUCAGAGGGAAGUACCAUGUGUACACUGAGAGUCGUUCAUGUUAUUCUACUCAAUCAUCAUGACAAACUGAGAGCAUUUGACUUCCUGACCUUCCACAACAGAAAAGUCUAUGGACUGAUUAUACGCUAAGUGUAGAAGUAUUUCCUUUUAUUUGUUUUAAAUUUUCCCACUGUUCAUUUCAUUGAGAGAAUACUUGUUCUCAUAUUAUGAA